UGGGGAAUAUUGGACAAUGGGCGCAAGCCUGAUCCAGCCAUGCCGCGUGAGUGACGAAGGCCUUAGGGUUGUAAAGCUCUUUUAACGGGGAAGAUAAUGACGGUACCCGUAGAAUAAGCUCCGGCUAACUUCGUGCCAGCAGCCGCGGUAAUACGAAGGGGGCUAGCGUUGUUCGGAAUUACUGGGCGUAAAGAGUUCGUAGGCGGUUUAUUAAGCUAGAUGUGAAAUCCCUGGGCUUAACUCAGGAACUGCAUUUAGAACUGGUAAGCUAGAGAGUGUUAGAGGUUGGUAGAAUUCCUAGUGUAGGGGUGAAAUCCGUAGAUAUUAGGAGGAAUACCGAUGGCGAAGGCAGCCAACUGGGACAUUUCUGACGCUGAGGAACGAA
Molecule: ribosomal RNA, 385 nt
Filed under: uncultured bacterium
Lineage: Bacteria
Description: bacterial SSU rRNA
Rfam family: Bacterial small subunit ribosomal RNA
Source: RNAcentral